Molecule: microRNA precursor, 76 nt
Filed under: Cricetulus griseus (Chinese hamster)
Lineage: Eukaryota; Metazoa; Chordata; Mammalia; Rodentia; Cricetidae
Description: miRNA (ENSCGRG00001004604.1)
Source: RNAcentral
CCUGGUACUCACUAUGUAGACCAGGCUGGCCUCAAACUCACAGAGAUCAGCCUGCCUUUGCCUCCCGAGUGCUGGG